This 69-nucleotide transfer RNA is filed under the name Negaprion brevirostris (lemon shark). RNAcentral describes it as "tRNA-His". It matches the Rfam family "tRNA". Rfam says of the family: Transfer RNA (tRNA) molecules are approximately 80 nucleotides in length. Their secondary structure includes four short double-helical elements and three loops (D, anti-codon, and T loops). The record is from RNAcentral. Lineage: Eukaryota; Metazoa; Chordata; Chondrichthyes; Carcharhiniformes; Carcharhinidae.
GUACUUAUAGUUUAAUUAAAACAUUAGAUUGUGGUUCUAAAAACAAAAGUUAAAAUCUUUUUAUUUACC